UACGUAGGUGGCGAGCGUUGUCCGGAAUUAUUGGGCGUAAAGCGCGCGCAGGUGGGAUCUUAAGUCCAUUUUGAAAGUUCGGAGCUCAACUCCGUGAGGGGAUGGAAACUGAGAUUCUUGAGUACCGGAGAGGAAAGCGGAAUUCCCCGUGUAGCGGUGAAAUGCGUAGAUAUGGGGAGGAACACCAGUGGCGAAGGCGGCUUUCUGGACGGUGUCUGACACUGAGGCGCGAAAGCCAGGGGAGCAAACGGG
RNAcentral lists this ribosomal RNA (252 nucleotides) under uncultured bacterium. RNAcentral's name for it is "partial 16S ribosomal RNA". It matches the Rfam family "Bacterial small subunit ribosomal RNA", at positions 524 to 776 of the family's 1533-position model. The record is from RNAcentral.